CCUACGGGCGGCAGCAGUGGGGGAUAUUGGACAAUGGGGGGAACCCUGAUCCAGCGACGCCGCGUGAGUGAAGAAGUAUUUCGGUAUGUAAAGCUCUAUCAGCAGGGAAGAAAGAAAUGACGGUACCUGAGUAAGAAGCCCCGGCUAACUACGUGCCAGCAGCCGCGGUAAUACGUAGGGGGCAAGCGUUAUCCGGAUUUACUGGGUGUAAAGGGAGCGUAGACGGCGAUGCAAGUCUGAAGUGAAAGGCGGGGGCCCAAACGCCGGACUGCUUUGGAAACUGUAUGACUGGAGUGCAGGAGAGGUAGGUGGAAUUCCUAGUGUAGCGGUGAAAUGCGUAGAUAUUAGGAGGAACACCAGUGGCGAAGGCGGCCUACUGGACUGUAACUGACGUUGAGGCUCGAAAGCGUGGGGAGCAAACAGGAUUAGAUACCCGAGUAGUC
RNAcentral lists this ribosomal RNA (443 nucleotides) under uncultured bacterium. RNAcentral describes it as "partial 16S ribosomal RNA". It matches the Rfam family "Bacterial small subunit ribosomal RNA", at positions 338 to 795 of the family's 1533-position model. The record is from RNAcentral.